Paramuricea clavata is the source of this 74-nucleotide non-coding RNA. NCBI's taxonomy places the organism in Eukaryota, Metazoa, Cnidaria, Anthozoa, Malacalcyonacea, Plexauridae. The record is from the annotation of a GenBank genome assembly.
GACCGCGUAGCUCAGUUGGAAAGAGCAUUGGGCUAGUAUUCCAAAGGUCGUAGGUUCGAAUCCCACCGUGGCCG